GGUUGAGUAGCUCAGCUGGAUAGAGCAACAGCCUUCUAAGCUGUGGGUCUUGGGUUCGAA
This 60-nucleotide transfer RNA is filed under the name Barnesiella intestinihominis. RNAcentral's name for it is "tRNA-Arg". It matches the Rfam family "tRNA", at positions 1 to 57 of the family's 71-position model. From Rfam's summary of the family: Transfer RNA (tRNA) molecules are approximately 80 nucleotides in length. Their secondary structure includes four short double-helical elements and three loops (D, anti-codon, and T loops). The record is from RNAcentral. Lineage: Bacteria; Pseudomonadati; Bacteroidota; Bacteroidia; Bacteroidales; Barnesiellaceae.